GUCUCUGUGGAGGUUAUGUCCGCUAUUUCCGCUAUUUCCGCUAUUUCCGUUAUUUCCGUUUUUUCUAUUAUUUCCGUUAUUUCCAUUAUUUCCAUUAUUUCCGUUCAUCUUCUUGACCUGUAACCUAAUUUUCUGCCGUAUGUUUCUGUCUCUUUGGAGGUUUUAUCCGUUGUUUCCAUUAUUUCCGAUAUUAUUUCCGUUAUUUCCGUUAUACUUUCCAUUAUAUCCAUUUUUUAUUCCGUUAUUUCCUUUAUUGCCUUUAUUUCCAUUAUUUCCUUUGUUGUUCUUGACCUGUCUCCUAAUUUUCUGCUGUAUGUUUCUGUCUCUCUGGAGGUUCUUUCCGUUCUUUCCGUUCUUUCCGUUCUUUCUGUAGUUGUUUUUGAAAUGUCACCUAAUUUUCUGCCCUAUGUUUCUGUCUCUGUGGAGGUUCUUUCCGUUCUUUCCGUUCGUUCCGUUCUUUCCGUUCUUUCCGUUCUUUCCGUUCUUUCCGUUCUUUCCGUUCUUUCUGUUGUUGUUUUUGAACUGUCACCUAAUUUUCUGCCGUAUGUUUCUGUCUCUCUGGAGGUUAUUUCCUUUGUUUCUGUUGUUUCAUUUGUUCCCGUUAUUUCCGUUGUUGUUCUUGACCUGUCACCUAAUUUUCUUCCAUAUGUUUCUGUCUCUGUGGAGGUUGUUUCCCUUGUUUCUGUUUUUCCGUUGUUAUCCGUUGUUUCCGUUGGUUCCGUUGUUUCUGUUGUUUCAGUUGUUUCCCUUGUUUCCAUUAUUUCAGUUAUUUCCGUUAUUUCCGUUAUUUCCGUUAUUUCUGUUAUUAUUUCCGUUAUUUCCGUUAUUAUUUCCGUUAUGUCC
This 843-nucleotide long non-coding RNA is filed under the name Gallus gallus (chicken). RNAcentral describes it as "lncRNA (ENSGALG00010006736.1)". Lineage: Eukaryota; Metazoa; Chordata; Aves; Galliformes; Phasianidae. The record is from RNAcentral.